GAUGAACGCUGGCGGCGUGCCUAAUACAUGCAAGUCGAGCGAACGGACGAGAAGCUUGCUUCUCUGAUGUUAGCGGCGGACGGGUGAGUAACACGUGGAUAACCUACCUAUAAGACUGGGAUAACUUCGGGAAACCGGAGCUAAUACCGGAUGAUAUUUUGAACCGCAUGGUUCAAAAGUGAAAGACGGUCUUGCUGUCACUUAUAGAUGGAUCCGCGCUGCAUUAGCUAGUUGGUAAGGUAACGGCUUACCAAGGAAACGAUGCAUAGCCGACCUGAGAGGGUGAUAGGCCACACUGGAACUGAGACACGGUCCAGACUCCUACGGGAGGCAGCAGUAGGGAAUCUUCCGCAAUGGGCGAAAGCCUGACGGAGCAACGCCGCGUGAGUGAUGAAGGUCUUCGGAUCGUAAAACUCUGUUAUUAGGGAAGAACAUAUGUGUAAGUAACUGUGCACAUCUUGACGGUACCUAAUCAGAAAGCCACGGCUAACUACGUG
This 497-nucleotide ribosomal RNA is filed under the name uncultured bacterium. Its description in RNAcentral is "partial 16S ribosomal RNA". It matches the Rfam family "Bacterial small subunit ribosomal RNA", at positions 28 to 507 of the family's 1533-position model. The record is from RNAcentral.